UUGGAGCAGAGUGCAGUUUGGAGAAGUGCCGUGGCUGGCUAGAAGACCAAGACCCUAGGAACUGGUUUCUUGCAGGCAGAUCCUCACAUCGGCACAAAGUCCCAUGGAAGUCAGUGGAGCUUGGUUCAAUCACAAGGGUCAGAUCCGAUUGCAGGAGUGGGGCCAUACAUAUCUGAUGGCAUAAUGACUCCCUUGUGAGGUGCCAUGUAUGUAAAAAUCCCCAUUUACGAUUCUUUCUUUCUUUCUUUCUUUCUUUCUUUCUUUCUUUCUUUCUUUCUUUCUUUCUUUCUUU
This is a long non-coding RNA of Chelonia mydas (Green sea turtle), 292 nucleotides long. RefSeq lists it as uncharacterized. The transcript is spliced from 3 exons. The record is from RefSeq and is a predicted model, not a curated record. Lineage: Eukaryota; Metazoa; Chordata; Testudines; Cheloniidae.